GAUGAACGCUGGCGGCGUGCCUAAUACAUGCAAGUCGAGCGAACAGACGAGGAGCUUGCUCCUUUGACGUUAGCGGCGGACGGGUGAGUAACACGUAGGUAACCUACCUAUAAGACUGGGAUAACUUCGGGAAACCGGAGCUAAUACCGGAUAAUAUUUCGAACCGCAUGGUUCGAUAGUGAAAGAUGGCUUUGCUAUCACUUAUAGAUGGACCUGCGCCGUAUUAGCUAGUUGGUAAGGUAACGGCUUACCAAGGCAACGAUACGUAGCCGACCUGAGAGGGUGAUCGGCCACACUGGAACUGAGACACGGUCCAGACUCCUACGGGAGGCAGCAGUAGGGAAUCUUCCGCAAUGGGCGAAAGCCUGACGGAGCAACGCCGCGUGAGUGGUGAAGGUCUUCGGAUCGUAAAACUCUGUUAUUAGGGAAGAACAAACGUGUAAGUAACUGUGCACGUCUUGACGGUACCUAAUCAGAAAGCCACGGCUAACUACGU
This 496-nucleotide ribosomal RNA is filed under the name uncultured bacterium. Its description in RNAcentral is "partial 16S ribosomal RNA". It matches the Rfam family "Bacterial small subunit ribosomal RNA", at positions 28 to 506 of the family's 1533-position model. The record is from RNAcentral.